Molecule: ribosomal RNA, 491 nt
Filed under: uncultured bacterium
Lineage: Bacteria
Description: partial 16S ribosomal RNA
Rfam family: Bacterial small subunit ribosomal RNA
Source: RNAcentral
GAUUGAACGCUGGCGGCAGGCCUACCACAUGCAAGUCGAACGGUAACAGGAAGAAGCUUGCUUCUUUGCUGACGAGUGGCGGACGGGUGAGUAAUGUCUGGGAAACUGCCUGAUGGAGGGGGAUAACUACUGGAAACGGUAGCUAAUACCGCAUAACGUCGCAAGACCAAAGAGGGGGACCUUCGGGCCUCUUGCCAUCGGAUGUGCCCAGAUGGGAUUAGCUAGUAGGUGGGGUAACGGCUCACCUAGGCGACGAUCCCUAGCUGGUCUGAGAGGAUGACCAGCCACACUGGAACUGAGACACGGUCCAGACUCCUACGGGAGGCAGCAGUGGGGAAUAUUGCACAAUGGGCGCAAGCCUGAUGCAGCCAUGCCGCGUGUAUGAAGAAGGCCUUCGGGUUGUAAAGUACUUUCAGCGGGGAGGAAGGGAGUAAAGUUAAUACCUUUGCUCAUUGACGUUACCCGCAGAAGAAGCACCGGCUAACUCCGUG